This 1213-nucleotide long non-coding RNA is filed under the name Phascolarctos cinereus (koala). RNAcentral's name for it is "lncRNA (ENSPCIG00000019454.2)". Lineage: Eukaryota; Metazoa; Chordata; Mammalia; Diprotodontia; Phascolarctidae. The record is from RNAcentral.
CGAGGUAUAGGCAAAGUUGUUGUUUGUCCUUCUUUCUCAAAGAGGACCAUGACAUCAGGAAGGUGAUGCCAUGACUUGCGAGUGAAUUGGAUUGAAGUGAUGGAGGGCUGUGUAAAAUCACCAGCCUCACUCUCUCCUCCAGAGCCAUCUGGGUCCAGUGACAAGAUAUAGACCAGGACGACUGGAGAUGACCCUGGAUGUGGUGUUCUAUGGAAGGAAAUGAGAGAUCCCUGGGGAGAGGAAUCAGGAAGUAGAAAGUCAUCUCCCAGCACAAUGAACACCACUGAUAAAGAAAACUCAUCUGACCUUACAGAAAUAGAAGAUACAUCAGAGAUAAUAGAAUCAUCAAAGACAGAGGAUAUUGCUGAUGCCACACAGAACGUGGUGAAUGCCGAGAAAAAUUCAUUUUUUUGCCCGCUCUCAAAAUUGCUUUUAUCAGCUGACGCUUUGAUAAAGGAAAACGAAAAAAUCCAUAACUUAAGAAAACAUGAUAUUUCCAUUACAGAAGCAAAGAACUAUCUUCUUCAAGUCUUAAACAUCAUAUCACUAGAAACACUGAGUCAUAGAGUGCCAACAGAGUUUGCUCAGCCUAUUGCUUUCAAAGGCAAGUGUCAUAUUUCUGACCCAAAAGAAAUGAUUAAAAUCCUACACCGCACCUUAUUAGCAAUUAAUGGACCAGGAACAUUAACUGAAAACCGCUCAAUGCCUUCCAGAGCAAUUGCCUUGAUGAACAAAAUUUCCCUGCCAAUGCACAUUUUUCCUUAUGAGAUGCUUGCCCAUCAUUGUCUCCCUUUCUUGUUACCUUUCCUAAUAAGAGAUGACAUUCUGAAUGAGAAGAUUUUCUGUAGGAUAGUCCUUUUCAACAUCGUUCUUCCCAAAGGGAAAGUCUUCAGGCCGCAAGCAAAGAGACAAAAACAUUAUGAAAAAUUGCUCCAUCCAGAAAAACAAUUCAUGGAUCUGAAAGACCUCCAGCGGAAAUAUUAUAAGGGCAUUUUGAAGUGGAAACGAAAGUCCCGGAUGCUGUUCAAAGACCCAUCUUUUGUUAUUGAAAAGGCAUUUGUACCAGAAAUGAUCUCACUUGAUUAUAAACCCACCGUCAUUUUUAAGCUGGUCAGAAGUACUGAUUUUAAUUCACCAUAAAGAGUGGGUUGUUUGUAUUAAGUAGAAUCUUACAUUAAAUAAAACAAUGCACAUCUAUGAUGAUGAUUUUUUC